Non-coding RNA from Podarcis lilfordi (Lilford's wall lizard), 76 nucleotides. NCBI's taxonomy places the organism in Eukaryota, Metazoa, Chordata, Lepidosauria, Squamata, Lacertidae. The record is from the annotation of a GenBank genome assembly.
GCUACAGGGUUCGGUUGGUCAGAGCGUGGCGCUGAUAACGCCAAGGUUGCAGGUUCGAUCCCCGUUUGGGAGAGUU